UACUACGGACAAGCCGAAUUGCAAUCAUAGUCCCAUUGCUUCCAACCAUUUUUCUUUUUUCUUUCAGGUACAGCUUCAAGAGCUUCGUGUUAAUUCGUGAACAAAUUUUUAAAUUGUUUUAUGUCACAAUUCUCGAAUGGAUCGAGAAUUUUUAUUGGUUCCCGAAGGAAAAUACGUAAAUCAAACGACCAAAGAAUAUGUUUGUUUUUACGUAAAAUAUACAACUUUUCGAGCAAUAUGCUUCUUAUCAGUCUAUUUUUUCUCUCUCUUUCUUCCGUAUAUUAUAUAUCGUUUUUUUCACUCUCUCUUUUCUUUUCCUUCUUCAAAUUCUAUUUUAGCAUAAUUUUACAAAGCUUUUGUUAUUUAUAAAUAAAAUUAUAAUACGAAAAUGUAUUCUUGAUUUAGAAAAUGUCCUUUUAAUUCUUCAAUUUAAUAUAAAAAUUUACUCAAAGCUUUACGCAACUUAUUCUAGCCCACCUUUUAACUCAUACUAUCGAUGAAACACUGUAUAAUUUGCGUUCAGCUGUUCGUUCUCGUACAUUCACUCAACAAACGACGAUACAUUCGAUGACUAGUUUGAAAAAUUCUUGAUGUUGAAAUACAGCGUUAGAUUGAACAACGACUGUACAAUAAUUUUUUACUUUUGAACUGAAGAAAAACCACCACCCGGCUUCUCUCACAGCCAAAGGGCACGCGAGCUGCCAGAACUCUCCGAAAAUUACCUCGUUUCGCUCAUUUCAAAGCCAACCGAGAUCUGACCAGAACGAUGGCGCGCGACGUUAUUAUAUACUGUGCUUGACGUCACGACUACGCGGCAUCAUGAUUGGAAGUUGCUAUGAGCUCCGACCAAUCAACUCACUUACUGCGUGAAAUUCGAACGGUGUACGCUCGCUCGUUCACUUGAGAGCUUUUCAUUGCCGUCAUCUCGGAUAAACGUUGGAAAGGCCAGACAAUAUAUACUAUAGAUGAAGAAACGUGAUUCAUCGAUAUACGAAGAAAAACCUAUGAAAUACCUAUGCAUCUUUAAUCACUCAUUCCGUUUAUGACUCUUGUCGUUACUUCUUUGAAAGAUAAGUGUUGUUUAAUUUUUUUUUCUUCUCUUCGAUUUCUUUCUUAAAAUUCAUAAAUAUAGUAUUUGACAAAGACAGUGAAAAAUGAUGAAAUAGACAUUAUACGAACAUCUAAUAAAAUUGUUAAAUUAAAAAAAAUUGUAACUAGAAAAUUUAUUAGAGUUUUAUUUCGUUUCUUUCUAGUUUUAAAUGAAUUUGUUUUCAUUUUUUUAAUUUCAUUUCUAAUGUGGAUCACCUUGUAAGACAUUCAUUUUCUUGAUCAUUGGCAUUUAACAAGUUUCAAUUAUGAUAUUUACUUACUUGUUUUGUUCAUAUAACGUCAACAUAAAUUAAUGACGUUAUUUCUUUGUUGACUGCUUUUUUAUACUAUGACGUAGUGUUUGCACUCGAUAGAAGUAUGAACCAAAUACAUUGUUAUUCGUAGAUAAAUCGCACGCGUGCAAGAUAAAGAGAGGAAAAGAGAAAGAAAGAUAUGACCUUAAUUGGAUAGAGCUUUAGUAGAUGAAUGCACGCUAUUUGUUGAUGCAUGUUCAAUGAAACACGAUUAACGUGCUUAAAAAGACUGUUGAACUCCAUCCAAUUGUACACUUUCUUUCAAUAUAUUUUAUAUCUUCUUUCUUUACAGAUUUCUUUUGAGAUUUCAUUGGUCUAAUUUUUACAUUUUGUUAUUAUAUCUAUUGGAUGAAUUUUGUUAUCUUAUUUCUUUUUUUUAUUUUUUUUUUUUGUUUUCUAUCGUUUUGAAAAGAAGCUCUUGAAGUUGUAUCAAUAUCAGUAAUUUUAAUAUAUUUUUGUUGAUUGAAUAAUUUUAAAAUUUUAAAAAUUAUUUUUAUUUUACACAUAAAAUACUGUGAAUAUUUAGAUUUCAUUUAUUGAUUAAUUCAAGAUACUUAUAUGUACAUCUACAUUCAAAAAUAUAAAGAAAUUAUUAUAUUCGCUUCAAAAGUGAAAAAAAUUAAAUUAUAAUUGAAUAUAGAGAAAUUUAUUUUAUAUAAUAUUUAUAUUAUUCAAAAAUAUAAAAAAACAAAAAAAUGCACACAAUUUAAUAUUAAUGAUUUAUAUAGAUAAAUCAUACAGAUAUUAAAGUUUUAUUAAAAAAAAAGUAUCAUAAAAUUUUUGAACGGAAAUAUACUAUAUGUAUCUAUAUGUAUAGAUAAAUAAAUAGAUAAAAUAAAUAUGAUAUACAAUAUUAAUACAAGAUGUCCCGUAUUUAUUAACAAAGAGAAAAAAGUAAUACUUCAUAAAAAAAGUGAGUAAAAAAUAUAAAAAAAAUAUCGUUUUAUUUCAAACUUGACGGAUUCGAAGUCUAAAGAAAAUUAUUUCAAUAAGAUCAUUGAUUAAAAUACUACAAUUUUAUUCAUUGAAAAUAAUAAAAUAAAAAUGAUUAUCCUCUUUAACUUCUUUUUUAUCUAUUCAAUUUUAUUUUCUGUAUUCUAAUAUACUAUUUUAUUGUAAUCUGUUUCUUAUUUUUAUACAUAUUUUAUUUUAUAUGUUUAUUUAUUAUAUUACAUAUAUUUAUCAAUAUUAUUAUAUUAUUAUAUUUUAAAAAACUAAUGAAACUAAUUCCAUUUUUUGCAUUUCUGAAAUUUCAUUCAAUUUUAUUAUUUUAUUAAAUUCGCUAUUGUUAAAGCUAGCUUUCGAAAAAAUUAAAUUAAAAAGUUUGAAUAACUAAUUUUUGAUUGAAUAUAUUCGAACUGAAUUUUUUGAUAAAUAAAAAAAUUUUUGAAUAAAAAAA
Long non-coding RNA from Apis cerana (Asiatic honeybee), 2802 nucleotides. RefSeq lists it as uncharacterized. Lineage: Eukaryota; Metazoa; Arthropoda; Insecta; Hymenoptera; Apidae. The record is from RefSeq and is a predicted model, not a curated record.